RNAcentral lists this long non-coding RNA (739 nucleotides) under Nicotiana tabacum (common tobacco). RNAcentral describes it as "long non-coding RNA (NTAB_LNC003608)". Lineage: Eukaryota; Viridiplantae; Streptophyta; Magnoliopsida; Solanales; Solanaceae. The record is from RNAcentral.
AGGAGUUAGAGCCUUUUUAGUGAAAUUAAAGAGUGCUGGUGCAUCAGGUCUGGUGUGGCACUUCUAGCGACCAGAUUAGCACCUUUAGCGACCAGAUUUGGGUCUUUAGUGACCAGAUUUGCUUAUUAAAAGCUGCUGCGUUUCUGCUCGUUCUUUUUACGUAUUUUCUUCGAAAUAACACGGUUUGGGGCAAUUUUUGAGCAAGAAAUCAUGAGAAAUCUUGAGGUAAGUCACUUGUGAUUAUUUCUACUCCAUAAUAUUGAAUUAUCAUCGAAUAAUCCGACUAGAUUACAUGUUUUUGAGGUGUAAAUGGGUGAUUUUGGACCUAGGGAUUUGAAAAAAAGAUUUGAAGAUUUGAGGGGUCAUUUGAACUCCGAUUUUGGUAAAUUUUAUUUGUACGGACUCGUGGCGAGACGAGGAAUCCGGUGAUGUGACUUUCGUAAUUUUUUGAGAAGUGAGCCCGGGGCUCGGGUUUUACCAACUUCGUGAUUUUUAGCGUUUUUUGAGUAUUUUCGAUUGGGUAUUGUUCCCUUAGCAUAUUGUGAUGUAUUCGCUCUGAUUUUGGUUAGAUUCGACGCGCGUGGAGGCCGAUUUGAGGGGCAAAGGCGUCACAAGCUAUAGAUUUCACCGGUUCGAGGUGAGUAAUGAUUUUAAAUGAUGCACUGAGGGUUUGAAAUCCCGGAUUGCACAACAUACUGCUAUGUUGAGAUGAGACACGCAUUAUAUGACGAGCGCGGGG